CACCUGGUGGCCUAUUGGAAAGGCUCGAGGAUAUCUAUCCCACAUUGAGCAAAUGGCCAAAGUGUGCUGAGGGUUGUCAGUUGAUGCUAGAUGUUAGCACACUGCUAACAUUGGUUGCAUCACUUUAAAUAAUCUAGUGCAUCCUUUUGGAUCCUCAAUCAAUAGUUGCCUUACUGCAGGAUCUAAUAGGCUAAGGUCUUGCCCCUCGAUAAUUUCUAUAGAUGUCUUCAUAUACUUUUCAAAGUGAUACUCUACU
This 256-nucleotide long non-coding RNA is filed under the name Elaeis guineensis (African oil palm). Its description in RNAcentral is "long non-coding RNA (EGUI_LNC032384)". The record is from RNAcentral. Lineage: Eukaryota; Viridiplantae; Streptophyta; Magnoliopsida; Arecales; Arecaceae.